Molecule: ribosomal RNA, 253 nt
Filed under: uncultured bacterium
Lineage: Bacteria
Description: partial 16S ribosomal RNA
Rfam family: Bacterial small subunit ribosomal RNA
Source: RNAcentral
UACGUAGGGUGCAAGCGUUGUCCGGAAUUAUUGGGCGUAAAGAGCUCGUAGGCGGUUUGUCACGUCGGAUGUGAAAUCCCGGGGCUUAACCUCGGGCCUGCAUUCGAUACGGGCUGACUAGAGUUCGGUAGGGGAGACUGGAAUUCCUGGUGUAGCGGUGAAAUGCGCAGAUAUCAGGAGGAACACCGGUGGCGAAGGCGGGUCUCUGGGCCGAUACUGACGCUGAGGAGCGAAAGCGUGGGGAGCGAACAGG